Molecule: ribosomal RNA, 503 nt
Filed under: uncultured bacterium
Lineage: Bacteria
Description: bacterial SSU rRNA
Rfam family: Bacterial small subunit ribosomal RNA
Source: RNAcentral
GACGAACGCUGGCGGCGUGGAUUAGGCAUGCAAGUCGAACGGUGUCAUCCUUUCGGGGGUGAGAGAGUGGCGAACUGGUGAGUAACACGUAGGUUAUCUACCCUCAAGACGGGGACAACCCAGGGAAACUUGGGCUAAUACCGGAUGUGAGCAACUUUUAGUUGUUUGAAAGGUGGCGUAAGCUGUCGCUUGGGGAUGAGCCUGCGUCCUAUUAGUUAGUUGGUGAGGUAACGGCUCACCUAGGCAAUGAUAGGUAGGCGGCCUUAACGGGUGGUCGCCCACACUGGGAUUGAGAUACGGCCCAGACUCCUACGGGAGGCAGCAGUCGAGAAUAGUCUACAAUGGUCGGAAGACUGAUAGUGCGACGCCGCGUGAACGAUGAAUCCCUUCGGGGUGUAAAGUUCUUUUAUAUGUGAGCAGUGCUUCUUAUAUUAACAGUAUGGGGAAGAGAUAUUAGCAUAUGAAUAAGCAACGGCUAACUCCGUGCCAGCAGCCGCGGUAAA